Musa acuminata AAA Group (dessert banana) is the source of this 821-nucleotide RNA transcript. It is a transcript of the gene named cytochrome c oxidase subunit 6a, mitochondrial-like, with no coding region annotated. The record is from RefSeq and is a predicted model, not a curated record. The transcript is spliced from 5 exons. NCBI's taxonomy places the organism in Eukaryota, Viridiplantae, Streptophyta, Magnoliopsida, Zingiberales, Musaceae.
GACUUCCACUGACGAAAUUACAUUGCCGUGGCGACGCUGCCUUGUUAGCAAGCGAGUAACAGAAAGACUCAACUAAGUCUCAUGCCGAUGCCGAUAGCGAAAUCAAGCCUCCGAUCCGUCGCCUCCCUUUGCAGCCGCGCGGCCAAGUUCGGCACCAGGAGCUUCUCCUCUGCCGCUUGUUAUGACGAAGCCUAUGAAGCGGAGAAAUGGGAGAAGAUCUCGAUCGCGGGAAUCGUCACCUGCGCUGUUCUCUCCAUCUAUAAUCUGUCCAAGGGCCAUCACGAGCAUCCCGAGCCUCCGCCUUACCCAUAUCUCCGCAUCCAGAAGAAGGAUUUCCCUUGGGUGAAUGGAUACUGCUACUUGAGUGCUUACAAUCUGGAGCUACUUCUCAGCUACAUCUUCUGCUGAAAAUUCCUCGUCGCAUACAACAGCUGACAGCAAGCACUGACGCAAAUUCUGAUGUAAACCUCUUCCUUCACAGUGCUCAACAUACCACAUUCGCUCCUGAUAAAGAUCCCUGACUCUGCUGCAAGUACAUCUGAAAACAUAGACAUUAUUAUAGUUGGUCCAGAACCCCUCACAGAGCACAUCAAAAAGAAGUCCUCCAAGCAGUAGCAUACCUUUACAAGGAUGCUUACAUCCACAACAAUUACUGCCUAGCUUUAAUAAGAUAUUUGGUGAAAUAAAGAAGGAUAUAUAUAUAGGUCUGAAAAUAUAUGAUCUGUUGUAAUAGCAUGAUAAAAAAUUGUAUUGAAUUUGAUUGUUAAGAUGUCUGGUAGACUUGAACUGUUGGGGAAACAUCGGAUACAUUUUAUGUUUUA